This 389-nucleotide ribosomal RNA is filed under the name Syndiniales sp. RNAcentral describes it as "partial small subunit ribosomal RNA". It matches the Rfam family "Eukaryotic small subunit ribosomal RNA", at positions 582 to 975 of the family's 1831-position model. Lineage: Eukaryota; Dinophyceae; Syndiniales. The record is from RNAcentral.
AUUCCAGCUCCAAUAGCGUAUAUUAAAGUUGUUGCGGUUAAAAAGCUCGUAGUUGGAUUUCUGUUGAGGUUGGGCGGUCCGCACUACGUGCGAGUAUCUGCUUCGGCCUUGGCAUCCUCUCGGAAAACGCUACUGUGCUUGAUUGCAUGGUGCGGGGUUCGGGACUUUUACUUUGAGGAAAUUAGAGUGUUCACGGCAGGCAAUCGCCCUGAAUAUAUUAGCAUGGAAUAAUAAUAUAGGAUCUGAUGCCUAUUUUGUUGGUUUCUAGGCGUGAGAUAAUGAUUAAUAGGGACAAUUGGGGGGAUUCGUAUUAUGGCGUCAGAGGUGGAAUUCUUGGAUUGCCAUACGACGAACUACUGCGAAAGCAUUUCUCAGGGAUGUUUUCAUUG